UACGGGGGGGGCAAGCGUUGUUCGGAAUUACUGGGCGUAAAGGGCUCGUAGGCGGCCAACUAAGUCGGACGUGAAAGCCCUCGGCUUAACCGAGGAACUGCGUCCGAUACUGGAUGGCUUGAGGUUGGGAGAGGGAUGCGGAAUUCCAGGUGUAGCGGUGAAAUGCGUAGAUAUCUGGAGGAACACCCGUGGCGAAGGCGGCUCUCUGGGACGGUACUGACGCUGAGACGCGAAAGCGUGGGGAGCGAACAGG
RNAcentral lists this ribosomal RNA (253 nucleotides) under uncultured bacterium. Its description in RNAcentral is "partial 16S ribosomal RNA". It matches the Rfam family "Bacterial small subunit ribosomal RNA", at positions 524 to 776 of the family's 1533-position model. The record is from RNAcentral.